GUGCCAGCAGCCGCGGUAAUACAGAGGUCCCGAGCGUUGUUCGGAUUCACUGGGCGUAAAGGGUGCGUAGGUGGUGAGGUAAGUCGGAUGUGAAAUCUCGGAGCUUAACUCCGAAACUGCAUUGGAAACUACCUUGCUCGAGGGUUGGAGGGGGGACUGGAAUUCUCGGUGUAGCAGUGAAAUGCGUAGAUAUCGAGAGGAACACCAGUGGCGAAGGCGAGUCCCUGGACAACUCCUGACACUGAGGCACGAAAGCUAGGGGAGCAAACAGGAUUAGAUACCCUGGUAGUCC
RNAcentral lists this ribosomal RNA (292 nucleotides) under uncultured bacterium. RNAcentral's name for it is "partial 16S ribosomal RNA". It matches the Rfam family "Bacterial small subunit ribosomal RNA", at positions 505 to 796 of the family's 1533-position model. The record is from RNAcentral.